AGUGAACGCUGGCGGUAGGCCUAACACAUGCAAGUCGAACGGCAGCACAGUAAGAGCUUGCUCUUACGGGUUGCGAGUGGCGUACGUGUGAGGAAUAUAUCGGAAUCUACUUUUUCGUGGGGGAUCACGUAGGGAAACUUACGCUAAUACCGCAUACGACCUACGGGUGAAAGCAGGGGAUCUUCGGACCUUGCGCGAUUGAAUGAGCCGAUGUCGGAUUAGCUAGUUGGCGGGGUAAAGGCCCACCAAGGCGACGAUCCGUAGCUGGUCUGAGAGGAUGAUCAGCCACACUGGAAGUGAGACACGGUCCAGACUCCUACGGGAGGCAGCAGUGGGGAAUAUUGGACAAUGGGCGCAAGCCUGAUCCAGCCAUAGCGCGUGGGUGAAGGAGGCCUUGGGGUUGUAAAGCCCUUUUGUUGGGAAAGAAAAGCAGCAGGUUAAUACCCAGCUGUUCUGACGGUACCCAGAGAAGAAGCACCGGCUAACUUCGUG
This 492-nucleotide ribosomal RNA is filed under the name uncultured bacterium. Its description in RNAcentral is "partial 16S ribosomal RNA". It matches the Rfam family "Bacterial small subunit ribosomal RNA", at positions 29 to 507 of the family's 1533-position model. The record is from RNAcentral.